GAGUUUGAUCCUGGCUCAGAUUGAACGCUGGCGGCAGGCCUAACACAUGCAAGUCGAACGGUAACAGAACUAGCUUGCUAGUUGCUGACGAGUGGCGGACGGGUGAGUAAUACUUAGGGAUCUGCCUCUGUGUGGGGGAUAACUAUUGGAAACGAUAGCUAAUACCGCAUAACGUCUACGGACCAAAGAGGGCUUCGGCUCUCGCGCAGAGAGGAACCUAAGCGAGAUUAGCUUGUUGGUGAGGUAAAGGCUCACCAAGGCGACGAUCUCUAGCUGUUCUGAGAGGAAGAUCAGCCACACUGGAACUGAGACACGGUCCAGACUCCUACGGGAGGCAGCAGUGGGGAAUAUUGCACAAUGGGGGCAACCCUGAUGCAGCCAUGCCGCGUGUGUGAAGAAGGCCUUCGGGUUGUAAAGCACUUUCAGUUGUGAGGAAAGGAAUGUAGUUAAUAUCUGCAUUCUGUGACGUUAACAACAGAAGAAGCCCCGGCUAACUCCGUGCCAGCAGCCGCGGUAAUACGGAGGGGGCUAGCGUUGUUCGGAAUUACUGGGCGUAAAGCGUACGUAGGCGGAUCAGAAAGUAUGGGGUGAAAUCCCAGGGCUUAACCCUGGAACUGCCUCAUAAACUCCUGGUCUUGAGUUCGAGAGAGGUGAGUGGAAUUCCAGUGUAGAGGUGAAAUUCGUAGAUAUUUGGAGGAACACCAGUGGCGAAGGCGGCUCACUGGCUCGAUACUGACGCUGAGGUACGAAAGUGUGGGGAGCAAACAGGAUUAGAUACCCUGGUAGUCCACACCGUAAACGAUGAAUGCCAGUCGUCGGGCAGUAUACUGUUCGGUGACACACCUAACGGAUUAAGCAUUCCGCCUGGGGAGUACGGUCGCAAGAUUAAAACUCAAAGGAAUUGACGGGGGCCCGCACAAGCGGUGGAGCAUGUGGUUUAAUUCGAAGCAACGCGCAGAACCUUACCAACCCUUGACAUGCCUGGACAAUCCGAGAGAUCGGACUUUCCUUCGGGAACCAGUGCACAGGUGCUGCAUGGCUGUCGUCAGCUCGUGUCGUGAGAUGUUCGGUUAAGUCCGGCAACGAGCGCAACCCACAUCUUUAGUUGCCAGCAGGUUAAGCUGGGCACUCUAGAGAAACUGCCCGUGAUCAACCGGAGGAAGGUGGGGAUGACGUCAAGUCCUCAUGGCCCUUACGGGUUGGGCUACACACGUGCUACAAUGGCAGUGACAAUGGGUUAAUCCCCAAAAGCUGUCUCAGUUCGGAUUGGGGUCUGCAACUCGACCCCAUGAAGUCGGAAUCGCUAGUAAUCGCGUAACAGCAUGACGCGGUGAAUACGUUCCCGGGCCUUGUACACACCGCCCGUCACACCAUGGGAGUUGGGUCUACCCGACGGCCGUGCGCUAACUCUUCGGAGAGGCAGCGGACCCCGGUAGGCUCAGCGACUGGGGUGAAGUCGUAACAAGGUAACCGU
Molecule: ribosomal RNA, 1474 nt
Filed under: uncultured Sulfitobacter sp.
Lineage: Bacteria; Pseudomonadati; Pseudomonadota; Alphaproteobacteria; Rhodobacterales; Roseobacteraceae
Description: partial 16S ribosomal RNA
Rfam family: Bacterial small subunit ribosomal RNA
Source: RNAcentral